RNAcentral lists this ribosomal RNA (253 nucleotides) under uncultured bacterium. Its description in RNAcentral is "partial 16S ribosomal RNA". It matches the Rfam family "Bacterial small subunit ribosomal RNA", at positions 524 to 776 of the family's 1533-position model. The record is from RNAcentral.
UACGGAGGGUGCAAGCGUUAAUCGGAAUUACUGGGCGUAAAGCGCACGCAGGCGGUCUGUUAAGUCAGAUGUGAAAUCCCCGGGCUUAACCUGGGAACUGCAUUUGAUACUGGCAGGCUAGAGUCUAGUAGAGGGAGGUAGAAUUCCAGGUGUAGCGGUGAAAUGCGUAGAGAUCUGGAGGAAUACCGGUGGCGAAGGCGGCCUCCUGGACCAAUACUGACGCUCAGGUGCGAAAGCGUGGGGAGCAAACAGG